Molecule: long non-coding RNA, 227 nt
Organism: Mytilus californianus (California mussel)
Lineage: Eukaryota; Metazoa; Mollusca; Bivalvia; Mytilida; Mytilidae
Exons: 3
Source: RefSeq, a predicted model, not a curated record
CGAGACAAACGACAAACAAUUCUUUUUAACCAAGAAGACGUCAUGUCAAUGGCUUUAAAGGAUUGUUAUUGACCUGUGGCAGUUGGUAUUAACGCCAUGAAGACAUCGUUUAAAGAAGUUGCUAUUGAAGUUUGAUGAAGGACAGUUUGUAGUUACUGAGUCAAUGACAGUUUUAUAACUAGAACCAACAGCUUUCAGUUUGGGAUAUAAUGGCAGAUUGGAAUAAG